Molecule: non-coding RNA, 117 nt
Filed under: Pan troglodytes (chimpanzee)
Lineage: Eukaryota; Metazoa; Chordata; Mammalia; Primates; Hominidae
Source: Rfam by way of RNAcentral
GCCAGGCAUGGUGGUUCAUGCCUGUAAUCCCAACACCUUGGGAGGCCGAGGUGGGUGGAUCACCUGAGGUCAGGAGUUCGAGACCAGCCUGGCCAACAUGGUGAAACCCCAUCUCUA